Molecule: non-coding RNA, 1079 nt
Filed under: Tepuihyla edelcae (white-lipped bog-frog)
Lineage: Eukaryota; Metazoa; Chordata; Amphibia; Anura; Hylidae
Description: partial 12S ribosomal RNA
Rfam family: Bacterial small subunit ribosomal RNA (bases 1-916)
Source: RNAcentral
CAAUUAUUACUUAAUAUACACAUGCAAGUCUCCGCACCCCUGUGAAAACGCCCUUAAAUCCCCACUAGGGAUAAGGAGCUGGUAUCAGGCACAAUAUUUAGCCCAAAACACCUAGCUAUGCCACACCCACACGGGAAUUCAGCAGUGAUUAACAUUGAAAAUAAGCGACAGCUUGACUCAGUUAAAGUAAAAAGAGCCGGCAAAUCUGGUGCCAGCCGCCGCGGUUACACCACGUGGCUCAAAUUGACCCCCCCUUCGGCGUAAAGCGUGAUUAAAGUUUUUACUAAAUUAUAGCUGAACUAAAACUAAGCUGUGACACGCUUGUAUUUAGGAAAAUCAAAAACGAAAGUUACUGUAAUUAAAACAACUUGAACCCACGACAGUUGAGACACAAACUGGGAUUAGAUACCCCACUAUGCUCAACCGUAAACUUUAAAUUACACCAAUAUCGCCCGGGAACUACGAGCAAAGCUUAAAACCCAAAGGACUUGACGGUACCCCACAUCCCCCUAGAGGAGCCUGUCCUGUAAUCGACAACCCCCGUUCAACCUCACCAUUUUUAGCCUAUCAGCCUGUAUACCUCCGUCGUCAGCUUACCACGUGAGCGACCCUAAGUGAGCCUAAUGCCCACACGCCAACACGUCAGGUCAAGGUGCAGCAAAUAAAAUGGGAAGAGAUGGGCUACACUCUCUACUGUAGAAAAUACGAAAGACUAUUUAUGAAACCUAGUCAGAAGGCGGAUUUAGUAGUAAAAAGAGACAAGAGCGCUCUUUUUAACACGGCACUGGGGUGUGUACACACCGCCCGUCACCCUCUUCAAAGCUAACAGAAAGUCCAUAACACACCUAAGCACAAUAGAAGAGGCAAGUCGUAACAUGGUAAGUAUACCGGAAGGUGUGCUUGGAAACAAAAUAUAGCUUAACCAAAGCAUCUCGCUUACACCGAGAAAAUAUCUGUUAAACCCGGAUUAUUUUGAGCUAAUAAUCUAGCCCCCAAUAUCAAAUGAAACCAUUGACUUUAUAAUAUAAACUAAAACAUUUUAUAAACUUAGUAAAGGCGAUUAAAAAAUUGAUAGGAGC